AAGGCACAACGACAAGCCCACGUGGAGCAUACCUCUCUGCAAUGAUCAGAGUUUUUACGCAAUGAAAAAUAAUUUACCCUUGUUGAAAGGAGCACAGGUGUGUUAAAGUUGCCACGUGGGUUGGUGUGUAACAAGCCUGAAAAUGACAUGCAGCAGCACCGAUCCAGACACUGAAUCAUAGUUCAAAGGGAAGUAACUGCUGGAGAGGAAGGAAACUGUACCGGGACAAGCCGAGGUUUCCGGGUGAUAUAAAGGCAGAUUUGUAGAUCUGCCGACGUGUGCGGAGUGGAAAUAUUCAGCGAUCGGAAAUAUAGACGGAGAAUGAAGUUUGUGAUAUUUGGUUCAACUGGCCCGAGUGGACUGCAGUUGGUGGACGAAUGUUUGCAGCAAGGCCACCAUGUUACUGCUUUAGUAAGGAACCCCGAGAAGAUGACAGUGAAACACGAGAAUCUUACGGUAACUAAAGUUGACCUGGCCAAGGAAGAUGAACUGGUGCCCCAUUUUACCGGAAAUGACGCAGUACUAUCAUGUCUAGGAGCUCAAGCGGGCAUCUGGGUGCCCUGCUCGCUGUACACCGACAGCAUCAAGACCAUAACAGGCGCCAUGAGAAAAUGCGGAGUCAGCAGAUAUGUGGGCAUGUCGGCAUGGGGUACCAAACAUGAUCCUGGUCUCCCCUGGAUCAUUAGGUGGGUUUUGCGUCCCCUGUUUUUGAGGAACAUCUUGCCCAAUAUGGCGGAGAUGGAAGACUAUCUCACCAACAGCUGCACCGACAUUGACUACACCGUCGUCAGGCCGCCGGGACUCUCAAACGAGGAAGCGUCAGGUAAGGAGGUGUUGACACAUCAAGGUCAGUAUGUCCCGGAAGCAACUUCAAGGAUUCCCCGCCGUGAUGUUGCAAAAUUCAUGUUGAAGUGUGUCAUCAACGGCGAAUGGAAAAAGACACACGUGGCCGUCGGCAUCAAGUGAGGCCACAGUGAGGCAUUUCAUCUCCACACUAUCCGGAUCUGACGUAACACGAACUUACAUCAAAUGGCAUUAUGGGAAAACGGAGUCACCAAAACCUGAAGCUGUUAUAGUUCAACAUGUAGCUUGUAGCACCACAAACACAAUGUAACCACUCACUUCCACACGGUUACGUAGUAAAUCAACGACACCACAUUUUCUAAAAUAUACCUUAGGGAAAAGGUGCAAUGCACCUUACAAGUAACCAUUGCUAAUAUUUUUAUUGUAUUUUACCAUUUGUAUUUGGGUUCAAACAUAUGAACAAAGUGUUUGCUGACGUGUUAUUUGUACUGAAAAAUGAUUAUCUUUUAUCCUUUUUGGAAGAAUAUGAGUACAUAUUGACGCCAUACCUCACUAAAAGCAGAUCUUUGUUCUGGGUACCGCGAAAACAUGAUAUGUGGUCAUCUAAUAACAGGGCAAAUCAGGACAACCUUGAGUGUACUUCGACCAAUGAAAUGACUGGAAGGUGACAGCAGCCAAUCCGAAUACAGCUUUUUUCGAGCUAUACGGAAAUUUUCAAAAUGGCGACUUCCAUUCCAGACGAGGCUUUUGACAAAAUUCUCGUUUCAAGAAUGUCUAAUAGGUGUCCUCUAAGCUUUGUGGGCGGUGGGGUAGUUUAAUUGUUUUUACAUGCAUUAAAAGCAUUUCAAUGACUGAAAUACUGCCAAUGGGGUGAGAAUUUUAACAAACUUUGUCACUUCUACUUUUCGAGACAAUCAUCGUCUUUUAUCUCAGAUACAGAGCAUAGUAACGUCCUUUUAUCACCAGUUCUUGACACUGGCAUUUGACAUUAUUACCUGUAUUUGAUGCAGGUAUCCGUCAAGAUGUUUAUUAAGGGAUGGUCGGUUUUUUAUAAAAGUAUUUCUUGUGGAAUAAAUGUUAUGAGAUAACUCAGACUUACCAUGAACAUUUGAUAUGGAGAAUAUCUCGAACAUAGUGGUUCUGGUAAUAUAUAUAUCAAUAUAUAUAUAUAUACA
RNAcentral lists this unclassified non-coding RNA (1979 nucleotides) under Haliotis rubra (blacklip abalone). RNAcentral describes it as "flavin reductase (NADPH)-like, transcript variant X1". Lineage: Eukaryota; Metazoa; Mollusca; Gastropoda; Lepetellida; Haliotidae. The record is from RNAcentral.